GUGAGGAAUAUUGGUCAAUGGGCGCAAGCCUGAACCAGCCAUGCCGCGUGCAGGAAGACGGUCCUAUGGAUUGUAAACUGCUUUUAUUUGGGAAUAAACUCCGGUACGUGUACCGGCCUGAAGGUACCAAAUGAAUAAGCACCGGCUAACUCCGUGCCAGCAGCCGCGGUAAUACGGAGGGUGCAAGCGUUAUCCGGAAUCAUUGGGUUUAAAGGGUCCGCAGGCGGUCUUAUAAGUCAGUGGUGAAAGCCUACAGCUCAACUGUAGAACUGCCAUUGAUACUGUAGGACUUGAAUUCGAUCGAAGUGGGCGGAAUGUGACAUGUAGCGGUGAUAUGCUUAGAUAUGUCACAGAACACCGAUAGCGAAGGCAGCUCACUAGGUCUGGAUUGACGCUCAGGGACGAAAGCGUGGGGAGCAAACAGGAUUAGAUACCCCAGUAGUCC
RNAcentral lists this ribosomal RNA (445 nucleotides) under uncultured bacterium. RNAcentral describes it as "partial 16S ribosomal RNA". It matches the Rfam family "Bacterial small subunit ribosomal RNA", at positions 354 to 796 of the family's 1533-position model. The record is from RNAcentral.